CCUACGGGUGGCAGCAGUGGGGAAUAUUGCACAAUGGGCGAAACCCUGAUGCAGCGACGCCGCGUGAGUGAAGAAGUCUCUCUGUAUGUUAAGCUCUAUUAGCAGGGAAGUAAAAAGACGGUACCUGACUUAGAAGCCCCGGUUAACUACGUGCCAGUCGCCGCGGUAAUACGGAGGGGGCAAGCGUUAUCCGGAUUUACUGGGUGUAAAGGGAGCGUAGACGGCGCGGCAAGUCUGAGGUGAAAGGCAGGGGCUGAACCCCGGAACUGCUUUGGAAACUGCUAUGCUAGAGUGCUGGAGCGGUAGGUGGAAUGCCUGGUGUAGCGGUGAAAUGCGUAGAGAUUAGAAAGAACACCAGUGGCGAAGGCAGCUUACUGAACAAUAACUGACGUUGAGGCUCGAAAGCGUGGGGAGCAAACAGGAUUAGAUACCCUAGUAGUC
This 441-nucleotide ribosomal RNA is filed under the name uncultured bacterium. RNAcentral describes it as "partial 16S ribosomal RNA". It matches the Rfam family "Bacterial small subunit ribosomal RNA", at positions 338 to 795 of the family's 1533-position model. The record is from RNAcentral.